Long non-coding RNA from Balaenoptera musculus (blue whale), 542 nucleotides. RefSeq lists it as uncharacterized. The transcript is spliced from 3 exons. The record is from RefSeq and is a predicted model, not a curated record. Lineage: Eukaryota; Metazoa; Chordata; Mammalia; Artiodactyla; Balaenopteridae.
CUUUGCAUUUUUCCAGUGCCUUUGACUUUGAAAGUACUACCAGAAUGAUGGCUGCAUUUUCAGUGGUGGAAAUUAUUGCUAUGUCUCAGAAGCAAGGAAUCACAGGAUAUCUCCUUUCCAGCGGUGAUAUAUGACUCUCAUAAGUGAAAGCCACACCAUCAUUUAUAACACCCUAAUGAGUUUUUUUCAUAGAAACAGAACAGAGAUUCCUAAUGUUUCUUGGAACUUCCCAAAGAAAAGGGAAAGAAAAAAAAAAUUCAACUAAAUGCCCGUUUGUUAGCCCAGCAUUGGAAGGGAACAGCCUUAAAGAAUAAUUGGUCGCUCCUAAGAAACCAUUAAUAUAACAAAAGCUGUCAAAAGAUAUGAAGGAAGAAAGGAUGGUACUUUUUGGUUAUGAGGUGGGGUGACUGGAAAGCAGAAGGUGGAAUCAUCUGAAGGGCACUCACUCGCUUGUCUGGUGGUUGAUGCUGACUGUUGGCUGGGACCAACAUGGGGCUGUGGCUGGAACACCUACAUGUGGCCCUUCGUUCGGCUGCUCAUCU